Molecule: ribosomal RNA, 465 nt
Filed under: uncultured bacterium
Lineage: Bacteria
Description: bacterial SSU rRNA
Rfam family: Bacterial small subunit ribosomal RNA
Source: RNAcentral
CCUACGGGGGGCAGCAGUGGGGAAUAUUGGACAAUGGGGGCAACCCUGAUCCAGCCAUGCCGCGUGUGUGAAGAAGGCCUUAGGGUUGUAAAGCACUUUCAGUGGGGAGAAAGGUUUGUCACCUAAUACGUGAUGAAAUUGAUGUUACCCACAGAAGAAGCACCGGCUAACUCCGUGCCAGCAGCCGCGGUAAUACGGAGGGUGCAAGCGUUAAUCGGAAUUACUGGGCGUAAAGCGUACGUAGGUGGUUUGCUAAGCCAGCUGUGAAAUCCCCGGGCUCAACCUGGGCACUGCAGUUGGAACUGGUAAGCUAGAGUAGGGUAGAGGGGUGUGGAAUUCCAGGUGUAGCGGUGAAAUGCGUAGAUAUCUGGAGGAACAUCAGUGGCGAAGGCGACACCCUGGACUCAUACUGACACUGAGGUACGAAAGCGUGGGGAGCAAACAGGAUUAGAUACCCCAGUAGUC